RNAcentral lists this ribosomal RNA (253 nucleotides) under uncultured bacterium. RNAcentral describes it as "partial 16S ribosomal RNA". It matches the Rfam family "Bacterial small subunit ribosomal RNA", at positions 524 to 776 of the family's 1533-position model. The record is from RNAcentral.
GACGAACCGAGCGAACGUUGUUCGGAAUCACUGGGCUUAAAGGGCGCGUAGGCGGGCUGUCAAGUCUAGGGUGAAAUCCCGCGGCUCAACCGUGGAACUGCCUCAGAUACUGACGGCCUCGAGGGAGGUAGGGGCGAGCGGAACUCUCAGUGGAGCGGUGAAAUGCGUUGAUAUUGGGAGGAACUCCGGUGGCGAAGGCGACUUCCUGGCCUGUUCUUGACGCUGAGGCGCGAAAGCUAGGGGAGCAAACGGG